AACGAACGCUGGCGGCAUGCCUAACACAUGCAAGUCGAACGAAACCUUCGGGUCUAGUGGCGCACGGCUGCGUAACGCGUGGGAACCUGCCCUUAGGUUCGGACUAACUCCCCGAAAGGGGUGAUAAUGCCGGAUCAGAUCUUCGGACCAAGGAUUUAUCGCCUUUGGAUGUUCCCGCGUUGGAUUAGCUAGUUGGUAGGGUAAAAGCCUACCAAGGCGACGAUCCAUAGCUGGUCUGAGAGAAUGAUCAGCCACACUGGGACUGAGACACGGCCCAGACUCCUACGGGAGGCAGGAGAGGGUGAUAGUGGACCAUGGGCGAAAGGCUGAUGCAGCUAGGACGCGUGAGUGAUGAAGGCAGUAGGGUAGUAAAGCUCUUUUAACCGGGAUGAUAAUGACAGUACCGGGAGAAUAAGCUCCGGCUAACUCCGUG
Molecule: ribosomal RNA, 433 nt
Filed under: uncultured bacterium
Lineage: Bacteria
Description: partial 16S ribosomal RNA
Rfam family: Bacterial small subunit ribosomal RNA
Source: RNAcentral